This 338-nucleotide ribosomal RNA is filed under the name uncultured bacterium. Its description in RNAcentral is "bacterial SSU rRNA". It matches the Rfam family "Bacterial small subunit ribosomal RNA", at positions 32 to 345 of the family's 1533-position model. The record is from RNAcentral.
AAUCAACGCUGGCGGCGUGCCUCAGACAUGCAAGUCGAACGCGAAAGGUUCCUUCGGGGACCGAGUAGAGUGGCGCACGGGUGAGUAACACGUAGUUAAUUUGCCUUUGGGUGGGGAAUAACUCAGGGAAACUUGAGCUAAUACCGCAUAAUGCAGCGGCUCGACAUCGAGACAGUUGUUAAAGCGGGGGAUUCGCAAGAACCUCGCGCCUAAAGAAGAAGCCUGCGGCAGAUAGCUAGUUGGUAAGGUAAAUGGCUUACCAAGGCGACCGAUCUGUAACCGGCCUGAGAGGGCGGUCGGUCACACUGACACUGACAUACGGGUCAGACUCCUACGGG